UGAGGGAAUAUUUGGGGUCAAUGGGCGAGAGCCUGAACCAGCCAAGUAGCGUGCAGGACGACGGCCCUAUGGGUUGUAAACUGCUUUUAUAUGGGGAUAAAGUGAGCUACGUGUAGCUUAUUGCAGGUACCAUAUGAAUAAGGACCGGCUAAUUCCGUGCCAGCAGCCGCGGUAAUACGGAAGGUCCAGGCGUUAUCCGGAUUUAUUGGGUUUAAAGGGAGCGUAGGCGGGCUAUUAAGUCAGCUGUGAAAUCCGGCGGCUCAACCGUCGGCCUGCAGUUGAUACUGGUGGUCUUGAGUGCGCGCAGAGGCGUUGGAAUUCAUGGUGUAGCGGUGAAAUGCUCAGAUAUCAUGAAGAACUCCGAUCGCGAAGGCAGAUGCCCGGAGCGCAACUGACGCUGAGGCUCGAAAGUGC
RNAcentral lists this ribosomal RNA (414 nucleotides) under uncultured Prevotellaceae bacterium. RNAcentral's name for it is "bacterial SSU rRNA". It matches the Rfam family "Bacterial small subunit ribosomal RNA", at positions 354 to 762 of the family's 1533-position model. The record is from RNAcentral. Lineage: Bacteria; Pseudomonadati; Bacteroidota; Bacteroidia; Bacteroidales; Prevotellaceae.